RNAcentral lists this ribosomal RNA (253 nucleotides) under uncultured bacterium. RNAcentral's name for it is "partial 16S ribosomal RNA". It matches the Rfam family "Bacterial small subunit ribosomal RNA", at positions 524 to 776 of the family's 1533-position model. The record is from RNAcentral.
GACGGAGGGUGCAAGCGUUGUCCGGAAUUACUGGGCGUAAAGCGCACGUAGGCGGCUGUUUGAGUCGUCUGUGAAAGCCCGGGGCUCAACCCCGGGACUGCAGGCGAUACUGGACGGCUAGAGCACGGUAGAGGCGAGUGGAAUUCCCGGUGUAGCGGUGGAAUGCGUAGAUAUCGGGAAGAACACCAGUGGCGAAGGCGGCUCGCUGGGCCGUUGCUGACGCUGAGGUGCGAAAGCGUGGGGAGCAAACAGG